CAGUAGCCGCGGGAAUACAGAGGGUGCGAGCGUUAAUCGGAUUUACUGGGCGUAAAGCGUGCGUAGGCGGCUUUUUAAGUCGGAUGUGAAAUCCCUGAGCUUAACUUAGGAAUUGCAUUCGAUACUGGGAAGCUAGAGUAUGGGAGAGGAUGGUAGAAUUCCAGGUGUAGCGGUGAAAUGCGUAGAGAUCUGGAGGAAUACCGAUGGCGAAGGCAGCCAUCUGGCCUAACACUGACGCUGAGGUACGAAAGCAUGGGGAUCAAACAGGAUUAGAUACCCCGGUAGUCCCUGUCUCUUAUAA
RNAcentral lists this ribosomal RNA (301 nucleotides) under uncultured bacterium. RNAcentral describes it as "partial 16S ribosomal RNA". It matches the Rfam family "Bacterial small subunit ribosomal RNA", at positions 509 to 809 of the family's 1533-position model. The record is from RNAcentral.